RNAcentral lists this ribosomal RNA (253 nucleotides) under uncultured bacterium. Its description in RNAcentral is "partial 16S ribosomal RNA". It matches the Rfam family "Bacterial small subunit ribosomal RNA", at positions 524 to 776 of the family's 1533-position model. The record is from RNAcentral.
UACGUAGGGUGCGAGCGUUGUCCGGAAUUAUUGGGCGUAAAGAGCUCGUAGGCGGUUUGUUGCGUCGGCCGUGAAAACCUGCAGCUUAACUGUGGGCCUGCGGUCGAUACGGGCAGACUUGAGUUCGGUAGGGGAGACUGGAAUUCCUGGUGUAGCGGUGAAAUGCGCAGAUAUCAGGAGGAACACCGGUGGCGAAGGCGGGUCUCUGGGCCGAUACUGACGCUGAGACGCGAAAGCGUGGGGAGCGAACAGG